This 88-nucleotide transfer RNA is filed under the name Candidatus Dormiibacterota bacterium. Its description in RNAcentral is "tRNA-Leu". It matches the Rfam family "tRNA". Rfam says of the family: Transfer RNA (tRNA) molecules are approximately 80 nucleotides in length. Their secondary structure includes four short double-helical elements and three loops (D, anti-codon, and T loops). Further hydrogen bonds mediate the characteristic L-shaped molecular structure. tRNAs have two regions of fundamental functional importance: the anti-codon, which is responsible for specific mRNA codon recognition, and the 3' end, to which the tRNAs corresponding amino acid is attached (by aminoacyl-tRNA synthetases). tRNAs cope with the degeneracy of the genetic code in two manners: having more than one tRNA (with a specific anti-codon) for a particular amino acid; and 'wobble' base-pairing, i.e. permitting non-standard base-pairing at the 3rd anti-codon position. Lineage: Bacteria; Bacillati; Candidatus Dormiibacterota. The record is from RNAcentral.
GCCGAGAUGGCGGAACCGGCAGACGCGGCGGUCUCAAAAACCGUUGGGCUAAACACCCAUGGGGGUUCGAAUCCCCCUCUCGGCACCA